GCGCAGGAACAGCUGGUGCCUCGGGAGGCGGCUAGUGAGCGGGCGGGCGUGGGCUGCUGGUGGCCGGACGGGUCACGCUGCGGGUUUCGUCGCCGCCGCCGCCGCCGCCUUGCACCAUUGCACCAUGUCCGGCCAGCUGGAGCGUUGCGAGCGCGAGUGGCACGAGCUGGAGGGAGAAUUUCAGGAGCUGCAGGUCUCCUGUAUUUACUCCCUGUCUCCCUGCCAGCACCUCCAUCUUUAGGAGACACACAGGAUCUAUAAGCAGAAGCUGGAGGAGCUGACCUCCCUGCAGACGCUGUGCAGCACCUCCAUCAGCAAGCAGAAGAGGCACCUGAAGGACCUGAAGCACACACUCCAGAGGUACAAGCGCCAUUCCAGCCAUGAGGAGGCGGCGCUCAUCCAACAGAUGACCGCCAACAUUAAGGAGCGACAGAAUGUCUUCUUUGACAUGGAGGCCUACCUACCGAAGAAGAAUGGGCUCUACUUGAAUCUGGUUCUUGGCAACGUGAGCGUGACCCUCCUCAGCAAUCAGGCCAAGUUUGCUUACAAGGAUGAGUAUGAGAAGUUUAAGCUCUACCUGACCAUAAUUCUUCUUCUGGGUGCUGUGGCGUGUCGAUUUGUCCUUCAUUACAGGGUGACCGAUGAAGUCUUCAACUUCCUGCUCGUGUGGUAUUACUGCACCUUGACCAUUCGAGAGAGCAUCCUCAUCAGCAAUGGUUCCAGAAUCAAGGGCUGGUGGGUGUCUCACCAUUAUGUCUCCACGUUCCUGUCUGGAGUGAUGCUGACUUGGCCUAAUGGACUAAUUUACCAGAAGUUUCGAAAUCAGUUUUUAGCGUUCUCCAUUUUUCAGAGCUGCGUUCAGUUUCUACAGUACUAUUACCAGAGGGGCUGUCUCUACAGACUGCGGGCCCUGGGGGAGAGGAACCACCUGGACCUCACAGUGGAAGGGUUCCAAUCCUGGAUGUGGCGGGGCCUCACCUUCCUCCUGCCUUUCCUCUUCUGUGGCCAUGGGAACUGACGGGUGAGGGGCGCCUGUCUCCCUGUCUUCAGUUCUGGCAGCUCUACAAUGCCGUCACCCUGUUUGAGCUCUCCACCCAUGAGGAAUGCAAAGAAUGGCAGGUAUUCGUGCUGGCUCUCACCUUCCUCAUCCUCUUCCUGGGCAAUUUUCUGACCACGCUCAAAGUUGUCCAUGCCAAACUCCACAAGAACAGAAACAAGACAAAGCAGCCAUGAACCUCCGGACCCUUGUGCCACCUGGGGGCCUUGGGACCUAAGACUGCUGGGCGUUCCAGUCAGCACCCUGGCUGCCGGUCAGUGGUAGCCAUGGGCAGCAACAUCUCAGGGGCCAGCAGCAUCACCGGGAGCAGGGCCAAGGCCCCGGUCCCCGGCGGACAUGAGGAAUGUGAAGGCCACCUGCGCGCGCAGUAUUAACCUGUCCCAGCUCCCUAUUUAUAACAUAUUUAAUAUCGGGUCUUCCCUGCUUCCCUGGAAUCCGAGGCCUGCCUUCCCUGGAGCUCUGUGUAAUGGCCGUGGGCAGGCCUGUGUCUGUCUUUCAGGGAGGGGCCAGAAGCCUCAGGGAACCCCUCUCUUCCUACUCCUAUCAUUUGAAUCCCUCACUGGGGUUUAGAUGUGCCUCACUCGAGUUGGCUUUAGCCGACCUGCUACUUUACUGUGUCCCAGGCACCGGGAGGAAUGAAACUUUGAGCAUCCUGUGGAGCCUCCCCUGUCCUGGGCCACCACCUCUUCUGUAAGCCUCCCACAGCCCCACCUUCUGCGGUGGACAAAUAUUUAAGUUCUCAGAGAACCUACCUGUGUUGUCUCUUGCCUUGGUCUCCGGAACCGCAGGCCUGCUGGCCACUGGGGGAAAGAGAUGCAGCCUCCUUGGGACCUCCAUGUGGCAGGGUGUUAAGGACGCGGACGGCCUCCACCAGAGGGCGCCCAGCCUCUGGGUUGUUGGAGUUCUGGCGGACUCUUGGGUGCCUGAACCCUCCAGCCACCUUCAUAGACUUGCUGAGAGUCCUUGGCAUAGGAGCCAGGCCCUCCUUGUGACUGGAACUUCAGCCAUUCGGAGGUCACCCAUUCCCUUCCUCUCUUCAUCUCAGAGGUUCUUUUUUGUACGGGAAGGGGAGGAGUGGAAGGGUCUAAGUGGGCUCAGCCCAGGGUGUGACCCUGUGAGGUCCAGGAAGCAGCAAGAGUGGAGGGGCAAACAGGUCCAGUUUGAGUGUUCUGUCCCUGCCCAGCCUGCUCAGACCCAAUGUCACGGCUGGCCGCCUCAGACACGUUUCAUUUGGUCCUCACAGGACUUACUUUAAAAUUCUUUAGUUAUGUGAUAAAAAUGAGAACUCGCCUCCUCCAUGGUGAGAUUCGACAUAAUCCAGAUUUCUGUUUACCUUGCAAAAACUGGGAAGGCCUGGCAACAUUCCCAGAGGUCAAGAGCAUUUACCUGCCCCUGUUUGCCGCAGCCCGCCCCUCCCUUCAUGCCUGCCCUAUUUCUGCCCUUGGUCUCCUGUCCCCAGAUCACCUGGCCUAUCCUUUGCAGGCACCUGGGAUCGCCUCCCCUUAAAGCCCAGAAGAUGAGUAUCUUAGGCUUUGUGGACUAGUCCUGUGGCAGCUUCAGCUUGCACUUGUAGAGCAAAAAGUGCCAUUACAUGAUGGUGGCUAUUCAAUAAAACUUUAUUUACAAAA
RNA transcript from Mus musculus (house mouse), 2685 nucleotides. It is a transcript of the gene named transmembrane protein 120B, with no coding region annotated. The transcript has 13 exons. The record is from RefSeq and is marked validated. NCBI's taxonomy places the organism in Eukaryota, Metazoa, Chordata, Mammalia, Rodentia, Muridae.